This 726-nucleotide ribosomal RNA is filed under the name uncultured bacterium. Its description in RNAcentral is "bacterial SSU rRNA". It matches the Rfam family "Bacterial small subunit ribosomal RNA", at positions 681 to 1397 of the family's 1533-position model. The record is from RNAcentral.
GUGAAAUGCGUAGAUAUCUGAAGGAACACCAGUGGCGAAGGCGAGUUCCUGGACAACUCCUGACACUGAGGCACGAAAGCUAGGGGAGCAAACAGGAUUAGAUACCCUGGUAGUCCUAGCCGUAAACGGUGCAUAUUUGCUGUAAAAGGAUUCGACCCCUUUUGUGGCGUAGCUAACGCGUUAAAUAUGCCGCCUGGGAAGUACGGUCGCAAGAUUAAAACUCAAAGAAAUUGACGGGGGCCUGCACAAGCGGUGGAGUAUGUGGCUUAAUUCGAUGCAACGCGAAGAACCUUACCUGGCCUUGACAUGUAUCUAGUAGAACCGUGAAAGCGGGACGAGGUAGCAAUACCAGGAUACACAGGUGCUGCAUGGCUGUCGUCAGCUCGUGUCGUGAGAUGUUGGGUUAAGUCCCGCAACGAGCGCAACCCUUGUGUCCUGUUGCCACUCCUACGAGAGUAGGAAGCACUCUGGACAGACUGCCCCGUCUAAACGGGGAGGAAGGUGGGGAUGACGUCAAGUCAGUGUGGCCCUUACGGCCAGGGCUGCACACGUACUACAAUGCCCAGUACAAAAGGAAGCAAGACCCCAAGGUGGAGCAAAUCCCCAAAACUGGGCCCAGUUCGGAUUGUCGUCUGCAACUCGACGGCAUGAAGUUGGAAUCGCUAGUAGUGGCGCAUCAGCUACGGCGCCGUGAAUACGUUCCCAGGCCUUGUACACACCGCCCGU